UUCUAAGGGCGGUGAAGUCAGACCGGAAGGACUGGUGGAGCGCUUAGAAGUGAGAAUGCCGGUAUGAGUAGCGAAAGAAGGGUGAGAAUCCCUUCCACCGAAUAUCUAAGGUUUCCUGAGGAAGGCUCGUCCGCUCAGGGUUAGUCGGGACCUAAGCCGAGGCCGAUAGGCGUAGGCGAUGGACAACAGGUAGAGAUUCCUGUACCAGUGCUAAUUGUUUAACCGAUGGGGUGACACAGAAGGAUAGGGAAUCGCACGAAUGGAAAUGUGCGUCCAAGCAGUGAGUGUGAGAAGUAGGCAAAUCCGCUUCUCGCGAAGCAUGAGCUGUGAUGGGGAAGGAAAUUAAGUACGGAAGUUCCUGAUUUCACGCUGUCAAGAAAAGCCUCUAGGAAGAGUAGUACUGCCCGUACCGCAAACCGACACAGGUAGAUGAGGAGAGAAUCCUAAGGUGAGCGAGAGAACUCUCGUUAAGGAACUCGGCAAAAUGACCCCGUAACUUCGGGAGAAGGGGUGCUCUAUUAGGGUGCAAGCCCGAGAGAGCCGCAGUGAAUAGGCCCAGGCGACUGUUUAGCAAAAACACAGGUCUCUGCAAAACCGUAAGGUGACGUAUAGGGGCUGACGCCUGCCCGGUGCUGGAAGGUUAAGAGGAGUGCUUAGCUUCGGCGAAGGUACGAAUUGAAGCCCCAGUAAACGGCGGCCGUAACUAUAACGGUCCUAAGGUAGCGAAAUUCCUUGUCGGGUAAGUUCCGACCCGCACGAAAGGCGCAACGAUCUGGGCACUGUCUCAACGAGAGACUCGGUGAAAUUAUAGUACCUGUGAAGAUGCAGGUUACCCGCGACAGGACGGAAAGACCCCGUGGAGCUUUACUGCAACCUGAUAUGGAAUGUUUGUACCGCUUGUACAGGAUAGGUAGGAGCCGAAGAGACGUGUGCGCUAGCAUACGAGGAGGCAAUGGUGGGAUACUACCCUGGCUGUAUGACCAUUCUAACCCGCCACGCUUAGCGCGUGGGGAGACAGUGUCAGGUGGGCAGUUUGACUGGGGCGGUCGCCUCCUAAAGAGUAACGGAGGCGCCCAAAGGUUCCCUCAGAAUGGAUGGAAAUCAUUCGCAGAGUGUAA
RNAcentral lists this ribosomal RNA (1118 nucleotides) under Listeria monocytogenes. RNAcentral describes it as "partial 23S ribosomal RNA". It matches the Rfam family "Bacterial large subunit ribosomal RNA", at positions 1239 to 2354 of the family's 2925-position model. The record is from RNAcentral. Lineage: Bacteria; Bacillati; Bacillota; Bacilli; Caryophanales; Listeriaceae.